GUCCCUGCAGCGCAAUGGAUAGCGAGUUGGACCUUUAAUCCGAAGAUUGUGGGCUGAAUCCCACCUGGGAUG
Trichonephila inaurata madagascariensis is the source of this 72-nucleotide non-coding RNA. The record is from the annotation of a GenBank genome assembly. NCBI's taxonomy places the organism in Eukaryota, Metazoa, Arthropoda, Arachnida, Araneae, Nephilidae.